AACGAACGCUGGCGGCAGGCUUAACACAUGCAAGUCGAGCGCCCCGCAAGGGGAGCGGCAGCCGGGUGAGUAACGCGUGGGAACGUACCUUUUGGUUCGGAACAACUCCGGGAAACUGGAGCUAAUACCGGAUAAGCCCUAACGGGGAAAGAUUUAUCGCCGAAAGAUCGGCCCGCGUCUGAUUAGCUAGUUGGUGAGGUAACGGCUCACCAAGGCGACAAUCAGUAGCUGGUCUGAGAGGAUGAUCAGCCACACUGGGACUGAGACACGGCCCAGACUCCUACGGGAGGCAGCAGUGGGGAAUAUUGGACAAUGGGCGCAAGCCUGAUCCAGCCAUGCCGCGUGAGUGAUGAAGGCCUUAGGGUUGUAAAGCUCUUUUGUCCGGGAAGAUAAUGACUGUACCGGAAGAAUAAGCCCCGGCUAACUUCGUG
RNAcentral lists this ribosomal RNA (431 nucleotides) under uncultured bacterium. Its description in RNAcentral is "partial 16S ribosomal RNA". It matches the Rfam family "Bacterial small subunit ribosomal RNA", at positions 29 to 507 of the family's 1533-position model. The record is from RNAcentral.